GACGAACGCUGGCGGCGUGCUUAACACAUGCAAGUCGAACGGAAAGGCCCUGCUUUUGUGGGGUGCUCGAGCGGCGGACGGGUGAGUAACACGUGAGUAACCUGCCCUUGACUUUGGGAUAACUUCAGGAAACUGGGGCUAAUACCGGAUAGGAGCUCCUGCUGCAUGGUGGGGGUUGGAAAGUUUCGGCGGUUGGGGAUGGACUCGCGGCUUAUCAGCUUGUUGGUGGGGUAGUGGCUUACCAAGGCUUUGACGGGUAGCCGGCCUGAGAGGGUGACCGGCCACAUUGGGACUGAGAUACGGCCCAGACUCCUACGGGAGGCAGCAGUGGGGAAUAUUGCACAAUGGGCGGAAGCCUGAUGCAGCGACGCCGCGUGCGGGAUGACGGCCUUCGGGUUGUAAACCGCUUUCGCCUGUGACGAAGCGUGAGUGACGGUAAUGGGUAAAGAAGCACCGGCUAACUACGUG
This 468-nucleotide ribosomal RNA is filed under the name uncultured bacterium. RNAcentral's name for it is "partial 16S ribosomal RNA". It matches the Rfam family "Bacterial small subunit ribosomal RNA", at positions 28 to 507 of the family's 1533-position model. The record is from RNAcentral.